Molecule: ribosomal RNA, 253 nt
Filed under: uncultured bacterium
Lineage: Bacteria
Description: partial 16S ribosomal RNA
Rfam family: Bacterial small subunit ribosomal RNA
Source: RNAcentral
UACGGGGGGUGCAAGCGUUAAUCGGAAUUACUGGGCGUAAAGGGCACGCAGGCGGUUAAUUAAGUCAGGUGUGAAAUCCCCGAGCUCAACUUGGGAACUGCAUUUGAGACUGGUUAGCUAGAGUCUUGUAGAGGGGGGUAGAAUUCCACGUGUAGCGGUGAAAUGCGUAGAGAUGUGGAGGAAUACCGGUGGCGAAGGCGGCCCCCUGGACAGAGACUGACGCUGAGGUGCGAAAGCGUGGGGAGCAAACAGG